CAGUCGCCGCGGUAAUACGAAGGGUGCAAGCGUUACUCGGAAUUACUGGGCGUAAAGCGUGCGUAGGUGGUGGUUUAAGUCUGCUGUGAAAGCCCUGGGCUCAACCUGGGAAUUGCAGUGGAUACUGGAUCACUAGAGUGUGGUAGAGGGAUGCGGAAUUUCUGGUGUAGCAGUGAAAUGCGUAGAGAUCAGAGGGAACAUCCGUGGCGAAGGCGGCAUCCUGGGCCAACACUGACACUGAGGCACGAAAGCGUGGGGAGCAAACAGGAUUAGAUACCCGAGUAGUCCCUGUCUCUUAUAC
RNAcentral lists this ribosomal RNA (301 nucleotides) under uncultured bacterium. RNAcentral describes it as "partial 16S ribosomal RNA". It matches the Rfam family "Bacterial small subunit ribosomal RNA", at positions 509 to 807 of the family's 1533-position model. The record is from RNAcentral.